RNAcentral lists this ribosomal RNA (471 nucleotides) under uncultured bacterium. RNAcentral's name for it is "bacterial SSU rRNA". It matches the Rfam family "Bacterial small subunit ribosomal RNA", at positions 355 to 825 of the family's 1533-position model. The record is from RNAcentral.
UGGGGAAUAUUGGACAAUGGGCGAAAGCCUGAUCCAGCCAUGCCGCGUGUGUGAAGAAGGUCUUCGGAUUGUAAAGCACUUUAAGUUGGGAGGAAGGGCAGUAACCUAAUACGUUGCUGUCUUGACGUUACCGACAGAAUAAGCACCGGCUAACUCUGUGCCAGCAGCCGCGGUAAUACAGAGGGUGCAAGCGUUAAUCGGAAUUACUGGGCGUAAAGCGCGCGUAGGUGGUUUGUUAAGUUGGAUGUGAAAUCCCCGGGCUCAACCUGGGAACUGCAUUCAAAACUGACAAGCUAGAGUAUGGUAGAGGGUGGUGGAAUUUCCUGUGUAGCGGUGAAAUGCGUAGAUAUAGGAAGGAACACCAGUGGCGAAGGCGACCACCUGGACUGAUACUGACACUGAGGUGCGAAAGCGUGGGGAGCAAACAGGAUUAGAUACCCUGUAGUCCCUGAGCGGGCUGGCAAGGCGCAU